RNAcentral lists this ribosomal RNA (449 nucleotides) under uncultured bacterium. RNAcentral's name for it is "partial 16S ribosomal RNA". It matches the Rfam family "Bacterial small subunit ribosomal RNA", at positions 29 to 523 of the family's 1533-position model. The record is from RNAcentral.
AACGAACGCUGGCGGCAUGCCUAACACAUGCAAGUCGAACGAAGGCUUCGGCCUUAGUGGCGCACGGGUGAGUAACGCGUGGGACACUGCCUAUUGGUGGGGAAUAACGACGGGAAACUGUCGCUAAUACCGCAUAAGCCCUUCGGGGGAAAGAUUUAUCGCCGAUAGAUGUGCCCGCGUCCGAUUAGCUAGUUGGUGAGGUAAUGGCUCACCAAGGCGACGAUCGGUAGCUGGUCUGAGAGGAUGAUCAGCCACACUGGGCCUGAGACACGGCCCAGACUCCUACGGGAGGCAGCAGUGGGGAAUAUUGGACAAUGGGCGAGAGCCUGAUCCAGCAAUGCCGCGUGAGUGAUGAAGGCCUUAGGGUUGUAAAGCUCUUUCGGGUGGGACGAUGAUGACGGUACCACCAGAAGAAGCCCCGGCUAACUUCGUGCCAGCCGCCGCAGUAA